GUAUAGGGUUUGUUUUUCUAUAAAAACUCAGGUUCAAAAACCCUAGUCAGAGUUUCUUUUACAGAAUAUAUACAUUCUAAAUUCUAGGACUUUGCAGUCAUUUGGGGCAAGUUUUAGGUGUGACUGGAGAGGGAGUCAUUGACUUAUUUCUCAGGUGGUUGUCCUUUCCUUUUCCUGUCCAACUAAUGCACUUUCUCAUCUGUGAAAAGAACGCUGGACUGGGAACCAGGACCCUGAAUUCCAAAGCUUGACCUUGGUUGUGUCCCACUGUUCGUGACCCCGUGGACUGCAGCACGCCAGGCCUCCAUCACCAACUCCUGGAACUUGCUCAGACUCCUGUCUAUCAAUCUUAAGAUCAAGAAAGUUCCAGAAAAGCUCGACGAGUCGGCCAUCUUACUGGUGACAUAACGAGAUGUGAAAAAGUUGAUUUCAAGCAUGAAUGUUUGUGAUCUCUUGUCAAAGGAAGCUAGGCUGCUGCUCUUGUUGGGGUCACACAGGGACGUGGGCAGCACUUUGGCUACAAGUCAUCCCCAACAGCCAGAAAGAUGGAGCCAAAAGACAAAACCAUAUUUGAAGAAGACAUCUAGUAUCGAAACUAGAUUUGCCAAUUUGGUUGUCAGAGGAGUGGGAUGGUGGAGAGGGGGACAAAUGUGGGGAACUUUCUAGAGUUCUGUAACUAGAAGAAAAACAUAAAACAGAAAUGAGAUGACAGGUCAAGACAUGGAUCAUAAGUAGAGUUGGGUGUUGACCGCGUGAUAUAUGUGUGUGUCGUUUGGGUCAGAAGGCACAGGGUUAGUUUGGUAUUAACAUGUACACACUACUGUAUAUGAAAUGGGUAAACAGGACCUACUGUAGAACGCAGGAAACUAUUUAAUAUCUUGUAAUAACCUUUAAUGGAAAAGAAUCUGAAAGAGUAUACACACAUACGCGUGCACACACACACACACACACCCACACACACGGUGGUGAUGGUUUAGUUGUUUAGUUGUGUCUGACUCAUGCUACCCCAUGAACUGUUGCCCUCCUGACUCCUCUGUCCAUGGAAUUUUCCAAGCAAGAAUACUUGAGUGGGUUGCCAUUUCCUCGCAUAUCCUUUACCACUGAGCCACCAGGGAAGCCUAAUAUAUAUAUAUACAUAUGUACACUUUGGCCACUGAUGCAAAGAGCCAACUCAUUGGAAGAGACCCCGAUGCUGGGAAAGAUUGAAGGCAACAGGAGACAAGGGGCAGCAGAGGAUGAGGUAGUUAUCUCUGACUCAGUGGACGUGAAUUUGAGCAAACUCUGGAGAUCGUGAAGAACAGGGAAAUCUGGCAUGCUGCAGUCCGUGGAUUGCAGAGUCGGACAUGACUUAGCUACUGAACACACACACACACACACACACACACACACACACACACUCACACACACAUGUAACUGAAUCACUUUGCUGUACACCUGAAACUAAUACAACGUUGUAAAUUAACUAUAGUUGAAUAAAAAAUGAGUAAAAAAUAAUAAAAAGGAGGUGCAUUGUUUAAGGACCUGAAUAAGGGAUUUAAGG
Long non-coding RNA from Bos taurus (domestic cattle), 1540 nucleotides. The record is from Ensembl. Lineage: Eukaryota; Metazoa; Chordata; Mammalia; Artiodactyla; Bovidae.